Molecule: non-coding RNA, 45 nt
Organism: Schistosoma curassoni
Lineage: Eukaryota; Metazoa; Platyhelminthes; Trematoda; Strigeidida; Schistosomatidae
Source: Rfam
ACCUAACUGACGAGUCUCAAAUAGGACGAAACGCGUGUCCUGGAU